AUUCCAGCUCCAAUAGCGUAUAUUAAAGUUGUUGCGGUUAAAAAGCUCGUAGUUGGAUUUCUGUCGAAAGUGGCCGGUCUGCCGAUGGGUAUGCACUGGCAGGCGCGUCCUUCCUUCCGGAGACUGUCCCUACUCUUAACUGAGCGGGGUCGGGAGACGGAUCGUUUACUUUGAAAAAAUCAGAGUGUUUCAAGCAGGCAGCUCGCUCUUGCAUGGAUUAGCAUGGGAUAAUGAAAUAGGACUUUGGUGCUAUUUUGUUGGUUUCGAACACCGAAGUAAUGAUUAACAGGGACAGUCAGGGGCACUCGUAUUCCGCCGAGAGAGGUGAAAUUCUCAGACCAGCGGAAGACGAACCACUGCGAAAGCAUUUGCCAGGGAUGUUUUCAUCA
Molecule: ribosomal RNA, 389 nt
Filed under: Haptolina sp.
Lineage: Eukaryota; Haptophyta; Prymnesiales; Prymnesiaceae
Description: partial small subunit ribosomal RNA
Rfam family: Eukaryotic small subunit ribosomal RNA
Source: RNAcentral